RNAcentral lists this ribosomal RNA (854 nucleotides) under Roussoella euonymi. RNAcentral's name for it is "partial 28S ribosomal RNA". It matches the Rfam family "Eukaryotic large subunit ribosomal RNA", at positions 68 to 940 of the family's 3401-position model. The record is from RNAcentral. Lineage: Eukaryota; Fungi; Ascomycota; Dothideomycetes; Pleosporales; Thyridariaceae.
ACAGGGAUUGCCUCAGUAACGGCGAGUGAAGCGGCAACAGCUCAAAUUUGAAAUCUGGCCCUUUCAGGGUCCGAGUUGUAAUUUGUAGAGGGUGCUUUGGUGUUGGCCGUGGUCUAAGUUCCUUGGAACAGGACGUCACAGAGGGUGAGAAUCCCGUACGUGGCCGCCGGUCUUCACCGUGUAAAGCCCCUUCGACGAGUCGAGUUGUUUGGGAAUGCAGCUCUAAAUGGGAGAUAAAUUUCUUCUAAAGCUAAAUAUUGGCCAGAGACCGAUAGCGCACAAGUAGAGUGAUCGAAAGAUGAAAAGCACUUUGGAAAGAGAGUCAAAAAGCACGUGAAAUUGUUGAAAGGGAAGCGCUUGCAGCCAGACGUGCCCGCAGUUGCUCACCUGGGCUUUUGCCCGGGGCAUUCUUCUGCGGGCAGGCCAGCAUCAGUUCGGGCGGUUGGAUAAAGGCCUCUAUCACGUACCAUCCUUCGGGAUGUCCUUAUAGGGGAGGCGCAACACGACCAGCCUGAACUGAGGACCGCGCAUUUGCUAGGAUGCUGGCGUAAUGGCUGUAAGCGGCCCGUCUUGAAACACGGACCAAGGAGUCUAACAUCUAUGCGAGUGUUUGGGUGUAAAGCCCGGACGCGCAAUGAAAGUGAACGGAGGUGGGAACCCCUCGGGGUGCACCAUCGACCGAUCCUGAAGUCUUCGGAUGGAUUUGAGUAAGAGCAUAGCUGUUGGGACCCGAAAGAUGGUGAACUAUGCCUGAAUAGGGUGAAGCCAGGGGAAACCCUGGUGGAGGCUCGCAGCGGUUCUGACGUGCAAAUCGAUCGUCAAAUUUGGGCAUAGGGGCGAAAGACUAAUCGAAC